Molecule: ribosomal RNA, 581 nt
Filed under: Xerocomus sp. G1041
Lineage: Eukaryota; Fungi; Basidiomycota; Agaricomycetes; Boletales; Boletaceae
Description: eukaryotic LSU rRNA
Rfam family: Eukaryotic large subunit ribosomal RNA
Source: RNAcentral
UCUUUGGCUGUCCGAGUUGUAAUCUAGAGAAGCGCGUUCUGUGUUGGACCGUGUACAAGUCUCCUGGAAGGGAGCGUCAUAGAGGGUGAGAGUCCCGUCUUUGACACGGACUACCAGUGCUAUGUGAUGCGCUCUCGACGAGUCGAGUUGUUUGGGAAUGCAGCUCAAAACGGGUGGUAAACUCCAUCUAAAGCUAAAUACAGGCGAGAGACCGAUAGCGAACAAGUACCGUGAGGGAAAGAUGAAAAGAACUUUGGAAAGAGAGUUAAACAGUACGUGAAAUUGCUGAAAGGGAAACGCUUGAUGUCAGUCGCGUUGGCCGGGGAUCAACCUUUGCAUUUCUCGCUGGGUGUACUUCCCGGUCGACGGGUCAGCAUCAGUUUGGGUCGCCAUACAAGGGCGAGGGGAAUGUGGCACCCUUCUGGGGUGUGUUAUAGCCUUUCGUCGGAUGUGGUGGUCGAGACUGAGGAACUCAGCACGGCUUCGGUAGUGUGCUUUUAGGAUGCUGGCAUAAUGGCCUUAAGCGACCCGUCUUGAAACACGGACCAAGGAGUCUAACAUGCCUGCGAGUGUUUGGGUGG